UUCCGGUUGAUCCCGCCGGAGGUUACUGCUAUCGAGGUUCGACUAAGCCAUGCGAGUCGAAUGUAGCAAUACAUGGCGUACUGCUCAGUAACACGUGGAUAACCUACCCUUGAGAUGGGAAUAAACCCGGGAAACUGGGUAUAAUACCCGAUAGAUCUCGACUGCUGGAGUGCAUCGAGAUCCAAAGCUCCGGCGCUCAAGGAUGGAUCUGCGGCCUAUCAGGUAGUAGUGGGUGUAGUGUACCUACUAGCCUACGACGGGUACGGGUUGUGAGAGCAAGAGCCCGGAGAUGGAUUCUGAGACACGAAUCCAGGCCCUACGGGGUGCAGCAGGCGCGAAAACUUUACAAUGCUGGAAACAGCGAUAAGGGGACCUCGAGUGCCAGGUUACAAAUCUGGCUGUCGUGAUGCCUAAAAAGCAUUGCAUAGCAAGGGCCGGGCAAGACCGGUGCCAGCCGCCGCGGUAACACCGGCGGCUCGAGUGGUAACCGUUAUUAUUGGGUCUAAAGGGUCUGUAGCCGGCCGGAUAAGUCUCUUGGGAAAUCUGGCAGCUUAACUGUCAGGCUUUCAGGAGAUACUGUCUGGCUCGAGGCCGGGAGAGGUGAGAGGUACUUCAGGGGUAGGGGUGAAAUCUUGUAAUCCUUGAAGGACCACCAGUGGCGAAGGCGUCUCACCAGAACGGACCUGACGGCAAGGGACGAAAGCUAGGGGCACGAACCGGAUUAGAUACCCGGGUAGUCCUAGCCGUAAACGAUACUCGCUAGGUGUCGGCAACGGUGCGACCGUUGUCGGUGCCGUAGGGAAGCCGUGAAGCGAGCCACCUGGGAAGUACGGCCGCAAGGCUGAAACUUAAAGGAAUUGGCGGGGGAGCACCACAACGGGUGGAGCUUGCGGUUUAAUUGGAUUCAACGCCGG
RNAcentral lists this ribosomal RNA (914 nucleotides) under uncultured archaeon. Its description in RNAcentral is "bacterial SSU rRNA". It matches the Rfam family "Archaeal small subunit ribosomal RNA", at positions 1 to 921 of the family's 1478-position model. The record is from RNAcentral.